This 71-nucleotide transfer RNA is filed under the name Pelomonas sp. Root1217. RNAcentral's name for it is "tRNA-Val". The record is from RNAcentral. Lineage: Bacteria; Pseudomonadati; Pseudomonadota; Betaproteobacteria; Burkholderiales; Sphaerotilaceae.
AGGCUAGGCAUCACGUCAGCUCCGCCUUGACAUGGUGGGGGUCGUUGGUUCGAAUCCAAUCGCGCCUACCA